GAGACUGCACCAUUGCACUCCAGCCUGGGCAACAGAGUAAGACCCUAUCUCAAAAACAAACAAAUAAUCAGUUGUGACAAAAUGGUCAGUUGUAAUUUGGGCUUGUCAUUAUUGAGAAUAAUCAUCAUCACAUAAGCAAACCAUUUUGUUACAGGUGACGAAUCCAUACAGGUCUGCAGCAACCUCAACUCUUGCGUCCUCAGAAGAAAGAAUUUGACUGUGGGGCAUGAAGUAGAAGGAGAAACAAAGAACUCUGAACAUGCCAAUCUACUACCCUCUAGAAGACUAUGGAGUCUCUGAUGAGAAAUCAGCUAUUAAUCUUAUCAAGGAUCCUUAAGACCUCUACAAAAGAAUAAAACUCAUGAAGUACCAAUCCUUCUAAUGGGUAAAAAUGCUCAAAAGGGAAAUUUAAAAAUUAAAAGUAAGUCCACUGGUUGAGAUGUUUGUAAGUGUGCAUAGCAGACUUUAGAUGAGGACUAAAGAAAACAGUUAUGGCAAAAGGAAGGAAUUCACCAUGCAGUAGCAUUUGACUAUGAUGACAUAGCUAAAAAACUACACAGAAACAACUUAAAUAUGCCUGCUUGAAAGCAUUCCUAGUACUGAAUAUACAAAUUUAGAAAUCCAUGUUUCUAAAACUCCUUGCUUCAUUUCUAUUAAUAACUAGACAAGCCUGAAAUUACAUUUUCACUAAUGUAUAUUCUUAGAGCUAUGUGACUCUCAAAGGUUUAUCAAUAAUUUUAAAUCAAAUAAAAACAAUUUAUCUGACAUUGUAGUAUGUCUGAAAUGUACUUAAUGAAGCAAGUAUCUAAAGUCCAUCACUGUGCUCUAUAAAGCACAAAAUAAAAGAUAAAACAUCCCUAUUCUCAAAGAGCCUACACCCUUAUGUGGCAGGGGAUGGAGGGCAGUAACAGUCACUUAACCAUUCUGAACUGGUUUCAUUAUCUGGGUAAUUUAUUUUCCUUUUGAGACAGUGUCUAGCUUUGUUGCCCAGGCUGGAGUGCUGUGGCACAAUCUUAGCUCGCUGCAACCUCCACCUCUCAGGUUCAAGUGAUACUCCUGCCUGAUCUUCCUGAGUAGCUGAAAUUACAGGUGCGUGCCACCA
Cercocebus atys (sooty mangabey) is the source of this 1102-nucleotide long non-coding RNA. RefSeq lists it as uncharacterized. NCBI's taxonomy places the organism in Eukaryota, Metazoa, Chordata, Mammalia, Primates, Cercopithecidae. The record is from RefSeq and is a predicted model, not a curated record. The transcript is spliced from 3 exons.